RNAcentral lists this ribosomal RNA (381 nucleotides) under uncultured eukaryote. Its description in RNAcentral is "partial 18S ribosomal RNA". It matches the Rfam family "Eukaryotic small subunit ribosomal RNA", at positions 592 to 976 of the family's 1831-position model. The record is from RNAcentral.
CAAUAGCGUAUAUUAAAGCUGUUGCGGUUAAAAAGCUCGUAGUUGGAUUUCUGUCAAGGACAACUGGUCCGCCCUCCGGGUGAGCACAUAGUUUGGUCUUGGCAUCUUGCUGGAAGCUGUUGCUGCACUGGGCUGUGUGGCGCAGCGUCCAGCACUUUCACUUUGAGGAAAUUGGAGUGUUUCAAGCAGGCACAUGCCUUUGGACACAGUAGCAUGGAAUAAUUAGAUUGGGCUUUUGCUCCAAUUUGUCGGUUUCUGGAGCUGAGGUGAGAAUUAAUGGGGAUUGUUGGGGGCAUCCGAAUUUAGCCGUCAGAGGUGAAAUUCUUGGAUCUGCUAAAGACGGACAACUGCGAAAGCGUUUGCCCAGGAUGUUUUCAUUGA